Fusarium oxysporum f. sp. cubense is the source of this 82-nucleotide non-coding RNA. NCBI's taxonomy places the organism in Eukaryota, Fungi, Ascomycota, Sordariomycetes, Hypocreales, Nectriaceae. The record is from Rfam.
GGCGCAGUGGCAGAGUGGUCUAAUGCGAUAGACUAGAAAUCUAUUCUCUUCGGAGGCGUCUGUUCGAAUCAGGCCUGCGUCG